This 233-nucleotide unclassified non-coding RNA is filed under the name uncultured fungus. Its description in RNAcentral is "sequence contains ITS1". Lineage: Eukaryota; Fungi. The record is from RNAcentral.
UUACUUCAUGAUUUCUUCAACUUAGAUUUUUCGUGUUUUUGUUCGUAAUCGAGUUUUUAAGAAAAACCCUGCGGCGGGCGCUCACCAACCUCAAGGGAGGCCGGUGGGGGCUGCUAGCCUCAGCGGCCCGCCGAGGCAACAAUAAGAGGUUCGUAGUCAAAAGGUUAGAGAGGACGGGCUCAAUAAACCCUUACCGCUCAGUAAUGAUCCUUCCGCAGGUUCACCUACGGAAA